CACAUCACGAAAGUCUGCUGCUCUUGAAGUACGCUGUGCUAACCGCAGGGAGGCUAGGCGCCGACGGAGUGGCAGGUGAUUGGGGUGAAAGUCGUAAACAAGGUACC
Molecule: ribosomal RNA, 107 nt
Filed under: uncultured bacterium
Lineage: Bacteria
Description: partial 16S ribosomal RNA
Source: RNAcentral